RNAcentral lists this ribosomal RNA (615 nucleotides) under Lactiplantibacillus pentosus. RNAcentral describes it as "bacterial SSU rRNA". It matches the Rfam family "Bacterial small subunit ribosomal RNA", at positions 218 to 883 of the family's 1533-position model. Lineage: Bacteria; Bacillati; Bacillota; Bacilli; Lactobacillales; Lactobacillaceae. The record is from RNAcentral.
CUUUUGGAUGGUCCCGCGGCGUAUUGCUGAUGGUGAGGCGGCCCAUGGCAAUGAUACGUGCCGACCUGAGAGGGUCGGCCACAUUGGGACUGAGACACGGCCCAAACUCCUACGGGAGGCAGCAGGGAAUCUUCCACAAUGGACGAAAGUCUGAUGGAGCAACGCCGCGUGAGAGAAGGGUUUCGGCUCGUAAAACUCUGUUGAGAACAUAUCUGAGAGUCUGUUCAGGUAUUGACGGUAUUUCCAGAAAGCCACGGCAACUACGUGCCAGCAGCCGCGGAAUACGUGGUGGCAAGCGUUGUCCGGAUUUAUUGGGCGAAAGCGAGCGCAGGCGGUUUUUUGUCUGAUGUGAAAGCCUUCGGCACCGAAGAAGUGCAUCGGAAACUGGGAAACUUGAGUGCAGAAGAGGACAGUGGAACUCCAUGGCGGGAAAUGCGAGAUAUAUGGAAGAACACCAGUGGCGAAGGCGGCUGUCUGGUCUGCUGACGCGAGGCUCGAAAGUAUGGGAGCAAACAGGAAGAUACCCUGGAGUCCAUACCGAAACGAGAAUGCAAGUGUUGGAGGGUUUCCGCCCUUCAGUGCUGCAGCUACGCAUUGCAUCCGCAUGGGAAAGCA